Molecule: transfer RNA, 71 nt
Filed under: Marmota monax (woodchuck)
Lineage: Eukaryota; Metazoa; Chordata; Mammalia; Rodentia; Sciuridae
Description: tRNA.Ala
Source: RNAcentral
UGGGUUGUAGCUCAGUGGUAGAACGCUCACCCAGCACAUGUGAGGCUUGGGUUCGAUCCUCAGCAGCACAU